This 277-nucleotide long non-coding RNA is filed under the name Panax ginseng (ginseng). RNAcentral's name for it is "long non-coding RNA (PGIN_LNC006170)". The record is from RNAcentral. Lineage: Eukaryota; Viridiplantae; Streptophyta; Magnoliopsida; Apiales; Araliaceae.
CAGGUUUGAUUCCUUCCUUUGAUCAUUGUUAACCACCCAAGUAUUUGUCCUCUAGAGGUGAUCCACCAAGGAAGAACAAAUAUUCAAGAAGGGUGUAUUGGCUAAAACCCUAGUUUUCUUUCUCUAUAGAAAAAGGGCGUACUCUCCAACAAUUGGAAUCAUGUAUCACAUGUUUUGUAAAAACUAUCAAUAUUCACCCAUAAUAAGACUCCUCUUAUUUAUAGAUGUAGACAAACCUCCUUAACAAUUAAGGAAUUGGGUUUUAUUUUAAUUAAUU